Suncus etruscus (white-toothed pygmy shrew) is the source of this 142-nucleotide small nucleolar RNA. RefSeq annotates it as small nucleolar RNA U109. Lineage: Eukaryota; Metazoa; Chordata; Mammalia; Eulipotyphla; Soricidae. The transcript has a single exon. The record is from RefSeq and is a predicted model, not a curated record.
UUGCAUGUUGCACUGCCUGCUCCUCAUUCCUUUAGAAACAGUAAUGCAUCUAUUAUCAAGCUACAUUUUUUUAAAAAAAGGAGUUCUUAGUGCUGCCAAUUUUACACUAAAGGUUGGAUAGUAAUAUAUUUUUCCUACACAA